UGGGUCCAUCGUCUAACGGACUAGGACAAUUACCUUCUAAGUAAUUAAUGCAGGUUCGAUUCCUGCUGGACUCAA
Molecule: transfer RNA, 75 nt
Filed under: Blidingia minima
Lineage: Eukaryota; Viridiplantae; Chlorophyta; Ulvophyceae; Ulvales; Ulvaceae
Description: tRNA-Arg
Rfam family: tRNA
About the family: Transfer RNA (tRNA) molecules are approximately 80 nucleotides in length.
Source: RNAcentral